RNAcentral lists this ribosomal RNA (497 nucleotides) under uncultured bacterium. RNAcentral's name for it is "partial 16S ribosomal RNA". It matches the Rfam family "Bacterial small subunit ribosomal RNA", at positions 28 to 507 of the family's 1533-position model. The record is from RNAcentral.
GACGAACGCUGGCGGCGUGCCUAAUACAUGCAAGUUGAGCGAUGAAGAUUGGUGCUUGCACCAAUUUGAAGAGCAGCGAACGGGUGAGUAACGCGUGGGGAAUCUGCCUUUGAGCGGGGGACAACAUUUGGAAAUGAAUGCUAAUACCGCAUAACAACUUUAAACAUAAGUUUUAAGUUUGAAAGAUGCAAUUGCAUCACUCAAAGAUGAUCCCGCGUUGUAUUAGCUAGUUGGUGAGGUAAAGGCUCACCAAGGCGAUGAUACAUAGCCGACCUGAGAGGGUGAUCGGCCACAUUGGGACUGAGACACGGCCCAAACUCCUACGGGAGGCAGCAGUAGGGAAUCUUCGGCAAUGGACGAAAGUCUGACCGAGCAACGCCGCGGGAGUGAAGAAGGUUGUCGGAUCGUAAAACUCUGUUGGUAGAGAAGAACGUUGGUGAGAGUGGAAAGCUCAUCAAGUGACGGUAACUACCCAGAAAGGGACGGCUAACUACGUG